GACGAACGCUGGCGGCGUGCUUAACACAUGCAAGUCGAACGGUGAACCUCUUCGGAGGGGAUCAGUGGCGAACGGGUGAGUAACACGUGGGCAACCUGCCCCCGGCUCUGGGAUAACUCCAAGAAAUUGGGGCUAAUACCGGAUGUUCACCGCUUCCCGCAUGGGUGGUGGUGGAAAGGGUUUCCGGCUGGGGAUGGGCCCGCGGCCUAUCAGCUUGUUGGUGGGGUAGUGGCCUACCAAGGCGACGACGGGUAGCCGGCCUGAGAGGGUGACCGGCCACACUGGGACUGAGACACGGCCCAGACUCCUACGGGAGGCAGCAGUGGGGAAUAUUGCGCAAUGGGCGGAAGCCUGACGCAGCGACGCCGCGUGGGGGAUGACGGCCUUCGGGUUGUAAACCUCUUUCAGCAGGGACGGAGCGCAAGUGACGGUACCUGCAGAAGAAGCACCGGCCAACUACGUG
This 463-nucleotide ribosomal RNA is filed under the name uncultured bacterium. RNAcentral's name for it is "partial 16S ribosomal RNA". It matches the Rfam family "Bacterial small subunit ribosomal RNA", at positions 28 to 507 of the family's 1533-position model. The record is from RNAcentral.